CAGCCGUAAACAAUGUGCGUUAGGUGUGUCGGUAACCACGCGUUACUGAUGCGCCGAAGAGAAAUCGUGAAACGCACCACCUGGGAAGUACGGUCGCAAGGCUGAAACUUAAAGGAAUUGGCGGGGGAGGCACCACAACAGGUGGAGCCUGCGGUUUAAUUUGGAUUCAACGCCGGACAUCUCACCGGAUAAGACAGACAUAUGAUAGUCGGGCUGAAGACUCUACUUGAUGAUCUGAGAGGAGGUGCAUGGCGGUCAGUGACU
This 264-nucleotide ribosomal RNA is filed under the name uncultured archaeon. Its description in RNAcentral is "partial 16S ribosomal RNA". It matches the Rfam family "Archaeal small subunit ribosomal RNA", at positions 748 to 1009 of the family's 1478-position model. The record is from RNAcentral.